GAGUUUGAUCCUGGCUCAGGAUGAACGCUAGCGACAGGCUUAACACAUGCAAGUCGAGGGGCAGCGGUGGUGAAGGCUUGCCUUUACCAGCCGGCGACCGGCGCACGGGUGAGUAACACGUAUGCAACCUGCCUGCCACAGCCGGAUAAUCGGGAGAAAUUCCGUCUAAUACGGCAUAAUGCAUCGACGGGACAUCCUGUUGGUGCCAAAGGUUAAUUCCGGUGGCGGAUGGGCAUGCGUCGCAUUAGUUAGUUGGCGGUGUAACGGACCACCAAGACGACGAUGCGUAGGGGUUCUGAGAGGAAGGUCCCCCACACUGGUACUGAGACACGGACCAGACUCCUACGGGAGGCAGCAGUGAGGAAUAUUGGUCAAUGGGCGGGAGCCUGAACCAGCCAAGUCGCGUGAGGGAUGACGGCCCUAUGGGUUGUAAACCUCUUUUGCCGGGGAGCAAAGUGCCGCACGUGUGCGGUUUGGAGAGUACCCGGAGAAAAAGCAUCGGCUAACUCCGUGCCAGCAGCCGCGGUAAUACGGAGGAUGCGAGCGUUAUCCGGAUUUAUUGGGUUUAAAGGGUGCGUAGGCGGACGCUUAAGUCAGCGGUAAAAUUGCGGGGCUCAACCUCGUCGAGCCGUUGAAACUGGGUGCCUUGAGUGGGCGAGAAGUACGCGGAAUGCGUGGUGUAGCGGUGAAAUGCAUAGAUAUCACGCAGAACUCCGAUUGCGAAGGCAGCGUACCGGCGCCCGACUGACGCUGAGGCACGAAAGCGUGGGUAUCGAACAGGAUUAGAUACCCUGGUAGUCCACGCGGUAAACGAUGAAUGCUAGUUGUCCGGGGCGAUUGAGUUCUGGGUGACACAGCGAAAGCGUUAAGCAUUCCACCUGGGGAGUACGCCGGCAACGGUGAAACUCAAAGGAAUUGACGG
Molecule: ribosomal RNA, 922 nt
Filed under: uncultured bacterium
Lineage: Bacteria
Description: bacterial SSU rRNA
Rfam family: Bacterial small subunit ribosomal RNA
Source: RNAcentral